UAAACCUGUGGCGUAUGAAAGUUCCCAGGCUAGAGGUUGAAUCAGAGCUGCAGCUGAGAGCCUAUGGCACAGCUACAGCACCAGAUCCCAGCCCCGUCAGUAACCUACACUUCGGCUUGGGGCAAGGCCAGAUCCUCAACCCAGUGAGGCAGGCCAGGAAUCAAACCCGCAUUCUCACGGAUGCCCUGUGGGGUUCUUAACCCACUGAGCCACAUUUUGGGAACUUCUAAAAGUUUUCUUAAGGUAGUUCAUUGGAUCCAAUAUAUCCAUAAUAUUUUUACUUAAACAUAUAAUCAGUAUAAAAAUGACUAAUGUGGCAUUUUACAUUAAAAAUUUUUGAUGUCUGUUUAAAUUUUUUUUUUAAAUUGAGAUAUAAUUGGCAUAUAACAUUGUGUUAUUUCAGGUAUAUAACAUAAUGAUUUUAUUUUAGUUUUGGAGCAGUUCAAUAAUUGUUUUAAUCUUGAAAGAAAUCAUCUUCGAACAAAAUGGUAACGUUUUAAGAAUUCAGAGAGUGUAAUAAAGAUGUCAGAACUGUCCAGAUGCUCAUUGUGCAAUUGGAAACCACUCAAAAGUUGACACAAGUCUCCAAAAAAGAAAAAGAAAAAAAGGUCAAUGAGCUCAUUCAUUCUUGCAACAUCUGCCAGAAGCUACGGCUNCAUUCAUUCUUGCAACAUCUGCCAGAAGCUAUGGCUUCUUCUUCUUCUUCUUCUUUUUUUUCGUCUUUUUGCCAUUUUCUUGGGCUGCUCCUGCAGCAUAUGGAGGUUCCCAGGCUAGGGGUCGAAUUGGUGCUACAGCUGCUGGCCUACACCACAGCCACAGCAAGGCCAGAUCCCCGCCCCGCUGAUGCCAGGGAUCGAACCCACAUCCUCAUGGGUAGCGGUCAGGUUUGUUUCCACUGGGCCACAACGGGAACUCUCAACAAACUUGUUUUCAGUUGAUUGUUAACUGCUGUUUGCAGGCUCAUUUACCUGGACCAUCAACUUACUGUUGCUUUUCCCUCUGCAGAAAGGCAGAAACACUCCAGAUGUCCUCCAAUAGUUACCAAGUUUCAAUCCCGAUGUCAAAAAGGAACACCAAUGGCCUGCCGGGGUCCAGCUCCAAUGAGCUGAAGACGUCUGCUGGGGGAGCUGUGUUAAGCUUUCAUGACAUCUGCUAUCGAGUGAAAGUGAAGAGUGGCUUUCUUUUUUGUCGGAAAACGGUUGAGAAGGAAAUACUGACGAACAUCAAGUACGUCGUCCAUGAACUUUUACUGAAACAGGUUCAUUGUCGUGCAGUGCGCGUCUCAGGUUUUGCUUAGUGCAGAUCAAGGUACCGGUCUGCACAGGUAGACAGACACACGCUCUUCAUUGCUUUCGGCUAAACGAGCUGAGCGGUGAGCCAGUUGGAUGAGAUGUUGGGUGUAUGUAUGUACAUGUAAGACAACUGGAGCUUAGCUCACGUCUAAGAGACGGAAGAGAGUUUAGGACCCAAAGUAACACACUCGGUUGUCUUACAGAAUUCAAGUCCGUACAAAACUAUGAUUUUUCUUCCCGCCAUCCAGCAACUGACUCAUCACAUGGUGGUGGCGUGGGCGAUAGAGGGACCCCUGAGUGUGAGAAUAAGGAGAGGAAUGGGAGGUGAAAAGCUUUUAUCUUUUGCUGCAUAUGCCCAGACUAGCAUCGACUGACCUUUCUGAAAAGCUGCCAGGUUAUUUGUGGAGCAAAGAAUGAAGAAAAGUGCUGGUCACUUGAGAUGUUUUGCUGCUAAAUGGAAGUUAGCAAAUGAUUUGCAAUAUGUGCAGGUUGAGUAAAUUGAAUAUAUUACUGCUCGAGGGUAUAUUUGUCUUGCUUAUGUUUUGUUUGUUUGUUUGUUUGUCUUUUUUGCCAUUUCUGGGGCUGCACCCGAGGCGUAUAGAGGUUCCCAGGCCAGGGGUCCAAUCAGAACUGCAGCCGCUGGCCUACACCACAGCCCACUGAGCAAGGACGGGGAUCGAACCCGCAAUCUCAUGGUUCCUAGUCGGAUUCAUUACCCACUGAGGCACGAUGGGAACUCCCUUGCUUAUGUUUUAAGGUCCAAUCAGAACUGCAGCCGCCGGCCUACACCACAGCCCACUGAGCAAGGACGGGGAUCGAACCCGCAAUCUCAUGGUUCCUAGUUGGAUUCAUUACCCACUGAGCCACGAUGGGAACUCCCUUGCUUAUGUUUUAAAGCUAGUAGUGUGUUAACUUGCUAACACUAAAGGUGUCAUCUGCUCAAGGCUUUACAGUGUUUUUAUGGUUGAGUGGUAUGCAUUUCAGCAACAGGUGAGUUCAUCCUUACACGCUUUUCUAGGUUCAUAAAAACUCAGUCAAAUCUUGUAAUCAUUUCAAAUUUUAGUAAUUAAGAGGAUGCCAGGGGUUGUUUUUCUUGCUUACUCACAUUUCUGGUGUAGGCAGUGGUGUUUCUUUUUCCUAUUUGCUGGUUUCAACUGAGUUUGUCUAGGAUGGGCAAAGGGUGCUCUCAUUUAUCUUGUUUAUUUGUUUAUUUUUUUAGGAGUGCAACUGAGGCAUAUGGAAGUUCCCAGGCUAGAGGUCAAAUCAGAACCACAGCCACAUGGAUCCAAGCCCUAUCUGCAACCUUCGUUGAAACUCAUGGCAAUGCUAGAUCCUUAACCCACUGAGCGAGGCCAGGAAUCGAACCUCCAUCCUCAUGGAUACUAGUUGGGUUUGUAACCCACUGAGCUAUAGCAGGAGCUCCGUCACUUUGUUUCUUUAUGUGCUCACUGCUGUUGAUAUUUUUCUGGACCAUGUGAGAACAGGCUGCCCAUAUGAUGUUCCAUUAUCACCACCUCCUCCAGUAAAUAUUUCUAGAGACAGGGACUCUCCCUUAUAUAACCACUCAGUCAUUGCCCGGGAGCAGUCCAGGGGUGGCCUCAGCCUGAACAUAGGGGCGGGUCCUGGGGGGCUGCUGCUCAGCCACGCUUCUCAGCACGUUGUGUCUCUUCAGUCUCAUCCACGCUGUCGUUUUUCUGUCCCAUCCCUUAACCUUGAUUACCUGCCCAGGUUGGGGUCUGCCAGCCUUCUUUAGUAUAAUGUCACCAUCAUCCCCUUUGUAAUUGAUAAAUAUUAUGAAGGGAGAUACUCUAACAUUAUUCCAU
This 3115-nucleotide long non-coding RNA is filed under the name Sus scrofa (pig). RNAcentral describes it as "lncRNA (ENSSSCG00025063173.1)". Lineage: Eukaryota; Metazoa; Chordata; Mammalia; Artiodactyla; Suidae. The record is from RNAcentral.